Molecule: ribosomal RNA, 713 nt
Filed under: uncultured bacterium
Lineage: Bacteria
Description: bacterial SSU rRNA
Rfam family: Bacterial small subunit ribosomal RNA
Source: RNAcentral
AACAGGAUUAGAUACCCUGGUAGUCCACGCCGUAAACGAUGCUAACUCGUUUUUGGGCUUUAGGGUUCAGAGACUAAGCGAAAGUGAUAAGUUAGCCACCUGGGGAGUACGUUCGCAAGAAUGAAACUCAAAGGAAUUGACGGAGGCCCGCACAAGCGGUGGAUUAUGUGGUUUAAUUCGAUGAUACGCGAGGAACCUUACCAAGGCUUAAAUGGGAAUUGACCGGUUUAGAAAUAGACCUUCCUUCGGGCAAUUUUCAAGGUGCUGCAUGGUUGUCGUCAGCUCGUGCCGUGAGGUGUUAGGUUAGGUCCUGCAACGAGCGCAACCCCUGUUACUAGUUGCUACCAUUAAGUUGAGGACUCUAGUAAGACUGCCUACGCAAGUAGAGAGGAAGGUGGGGAUGACGUCAAAUCAUCACGGCCCUUACGCCUUGGGCCACACACGUAAUACAAUGGCCGGUACAGAGGGCAGCUACACAGCGAUGUGAUGCGAAUCUCGAAAGCCGGUCUCAGUUCGGAUUGGAGUCUGCAACUCGACUCUAUGAAGCUGGAAUCGCUAGUAAUCGCGCAUCAGCCAUGGCGCGGUGAAUACGUUCCCGGGCCUUGUACACACCGCCCGUCAAGCCAUGGAAGUCUGGGGUACCUGAAGUCGGUGACCGUAAAAGGAGCUGCCUAGGGUAAAACAGGUAACUAGGGCUAAGUCGUAACAAGGUA